Molecule: ribosomal RNA, 261 nt
Filed under: uncultured prokaryote
Description: partial 16S ribosomal RNA
Rfam family: Bacterial small subunit ribosomal RNA
Source: RNAcentral
UACGGAGGAUGCGAGCGUUAUCCGGAUUUAUUGGGUUUAAAGGGUGCGUAGGCGGCUUUUUAAGUCAGCGGUGAAAUUUUGCAGCUUAACUGUAACAGUGCCGUUGAUACUGGGGAGCUAGGAUUUGGUUGCUGUGGGCGGAAUGUGUAGUGUAGCGGUGAAAUGCUUAGAGAUUACACAGAACACCGAUUGCGAAGGCAGCUCACAAAGCUAUUUCUGACGCUGAGGCACGAAAGCGUGGGGAGCAAACAGGAUUAGAUA